GAUCCUCUGCCCACGACAGAGGCUCAACCCCGCUAACAGGACUCAGCAAUUUAAUCGCUGGAUCCCGCAGAACCACUGGACCCUGUACCGCCCAAAAAUCAUUAUCCGGUCCCGACUGGGCUUCAGACGCGUUCCCUGAUUUUUCCGAGUUGCAGACCUCUCCUCAGCUGAGCCAUUUGCACAUAUCCUGCCCGAACUCUUAUGGGAAACUGUGACGGAUGGUUCAUCAUACUUGUUUUAAUUAUUCAGCUGUGCAGACAGCACCCUGGGGAGACGUGCUGCAGCGCAUUACAAAAAACACACAUUCAGUGAUAUAAUCAUAAUGAUGAUAAUGAAAUGUAUUUAGAGCACAUCAGUGCCUCCCUCUCUCUCUUUGCCUCUGCCUCUCGCAGCUCUGGUGUGAGGAUGUGAGUGCUGUCUGAUGCAGAAGAGGCAAGUUUGCUGCGCUCUGGCCCCCGGUGGCUCCUUGUGGAGGCCUGUGGUGCCCCGCACGAUGGCUCACCGGAGAUUAGCCGUCAGAGCGGAGGGCUUUGCAUACCUCAUGUGCCGUCAACUGCGAAGGCUUACCUGACAGGUGUUGCUCUCGUUCAGAUCUGUUGUGUCCUCCUGAGCUGAAGCUUCGGUGGGGCGCCUGUAGGUAGGAGAAACCUUCCUUCCUACUGUCACUCAUCACGGGCCACGCAGCCAGACCAAAGCCAAAUCUCUCCUCAAUGAGAGCCCAAUGAUGUCUGAUCAGUGUGGCACAAAAACACUCCGGGCGCUGCUUGAAUAGUCCUUGCUUAAAUAUGUCAUUGAGCAUUGCAAACUUUUUGUGGAAAAAAUAUUUGGGAGUGCUGCGCAUGGUUGCUUAUCAUUUCAAAUCUAAGUAUUGUGCAACUGUAAAUGUUUUUUCAAAUGUGAUAUUUGGGUUUAUUGGGAGUCUCCGAGAGAUGUAUUCAAACUCUCCUGGCUUCCCAUACUUCCAACAAUGCUGUUCACUCCUUAGUGCAUCUACAGUAUGAGUUGACCUGUUUGUUAUGUUUGUAUACACUCUCACUGGAGAAUUUGUGAAAUAAAAAACAUCUAAGUAGUUUUGUAUCCUGUCCUGUAUUAAAGUUUGCUGUCAGGUUAAUCUACCCUUAGUUCUCCCCAGAAUUGCGGCAUAAAAACAGAAACCGGGACUUAAGGGUGCUAAAAACAGCAGAAGAGACAAAUGAAUGAUCACAUGUAUGCGCAGUGAUAAUAGAUUAAUAAUUCAUAGUGCUUUAUGAUUAAUUAAAACAGGCCUCGGGUCCUGUGGCAGGUACAGGCUGAAACACAGUCUGACAUUCCCAUGCGAUCCUCUGAACAUCUGAACAUCUGAACUCUCUCCUUUCUUCUGUCCCCAGUCCAGGUGGAAGACCUGUUCAAAUAUCUCCAGUGGCAUCCAAUUCAUGCUUUGGGGACCAUAAGUGCUUGUUUUUUUCUUUCCUAGGCUUGCUGGUGUGGGGAAGUGCUGUAUAUAGUACAAUCAAGAGCCUAUUUAUAGAGAACAGGACACAUUGACUUAUGAACAAAUUGUGUAAUUUAUUGACCUCACCUUCGCUCUUUUGUAUAGUAGCAUUCCUGGCUGCUAUGCACAAAUAAUGUUAUUUACGGCUGCUGCUCUAUAAUGCAAUUUUUACUGUUUUAUAUUGUAUAUUGUUUUACUUCAAUGUGAAACACUGUUUUAGCAGUUUUUGAACUUUGUAAAUCAGCACUUCUCUCAUCGUUUUUUCAGGAUGAAUCGCUUAUGCUUAUAAGUUGCUUUAGAUGAAAGUGUGAGCAAAGGAAUAAAUGUCUGUAACCUCUAAA
Carassius gibelio (silver crucian carp) is the source of this 1812-nucleotide long non-coding RNA. RefSeq lists it as uncharacterized. The record is from RefSeq and is a predicted model, not a curated record. NCBI's taxonomy places the organism in Eukaryota, Metazoa, Chordata, Actinopteri, Cypriniformes, Cyprinidae. The transcript is spliced from 2 exons.